Ruditapes philippinarum (Manila clam) is the source of this 1447-nucleotide long non-coding RNA. RefSeq lists it as uncharacterized. The record is from RefSeq and is a predicted model, not a curated record. The transcript is spliced from 5 exons. Lineage: Eukaryota; Metazoa; Mollusca; Bivalvia; Venerida; Veneridae.
UGCCGUAAACCGUCUGACAGAACGAUUUUCAGCAAAACAUCAGGAAAAUGGCCGCCAGCCGAUGUUUUCAACUAGACGAGUAUGAAAGGGAAUACAGUGUUAGAUAUCAUCGAGGAUAUGUGACCAAAGGGUUUCAGAAGUCUUGAGAGAUGUAUGCAGAUCAAACCCAUCAAGUAAGCCAACACCAUGUCUACAAGGUCAUACCUCUAGAACCUCUCACACCUGAGGACAAAUCUAAAAGUGGACAGAGGGAUAGUAUGAAUGCUUCAGUGAAAUUAAGGAGCUCAGGUUCUAACAAGCGUAGUAGAGCAGUGCAACACAGAGGUACUCCAAUGUGCAAUUUUACAAGUUUUUCCAGACAGUGAUUACAGCGAGGCUUGAAGACUACUGUACACAAUUUCUUAACAAAUCCAAAAACAAAGCCGUGUAACAUUCAACUAAGUGAUUCAAAGAAAACCAAACUACAAACAAGAAAGGGUCGAUUGAAUGGAGUGACAUUUUUACCCUGAAGCGUCCUAUUAAGAUAAAGAGAAUCUAGUCGUUUGUGCCACGGCACAAAAUUAUCAGACACAUAAGUAACAUUCAAGUAGUUAUGCAUUUACAUGGAGGAUAUGACAUUAUUGUAUUUUCAUAUUGAAUUUAUCAUAUAAGUUGCCAGUUGAUCGAACCACACACUUAAUUGCCAACAUGGUUGGAAGGGUCUUAUUGUCCAAGCUGCAAAGAGUGUAUACCCUUAUAAACUAGCUGGCACAGUUGUGUGUCAGUUGAUAUCAGUCUUUGCUGCUUGCAAAUUAAAUCCAAUACUUUCAUAGAAUUAUAUGUUUUUAUUUAAUGUUUAUAGCAUCAAUAAAUUGAUAAUCUGAAAACAUAUUGCAAGUCAGGUUUUCAAGUAAAAUCCUAACUAGAACUAUCACUAAAUGUGAUUAAUACCCCCACAAGACUGCUUCAGAAAUGAGGAUGUUACUAGUAACAGAAUACCUUGUAAAUGAAUUGAAAUAUAGAGUUAUGGUUGUGGGCAAUUAAAGAUAGUUGUGGUUCUUGUAUGUUGCAUUUUCUUUCAAUGUGGUUGGCCAUUAAUGAAGUUUUAUUGAAUUACUCUGUAAUAAGUCCAGAAAGACAAGGAAAAGGAACAAAGGGCAGUAACUCUAUAAAUACUGAAGAUGGAGUUAAAGUUCUUGUGCACUGCACUUCCUCUUAUUGUGCUUGACCAUUUUAUGAAGUUGUUUUGAAUUCCAACCAGUACCUUUUAAGUUAUGCUCCGGACAAGGAAAAGUAUCAAAGGGCAGUAACUCUGUAUUUUGUCAAAAUGGAGUUAUGGCUCUUGUGCACUGCACUUCCUUUUAAUGUCCUUGACAACUGUAUGAAGUUGUAUUGAAUUCCAAACAGUAGUUUUCAAGUUAUGCUCUGGACAAGGAAAAGUAACAAAGGGCAAUAACUCUGUAAAUAC